GAUGAACGCUGGCGGCGUGCCUAAUACAUGCAAGUCGAGCGAACAGACGAGGAGCUUGCUCCUCUGACGUUAGCGGCGGACGGGUGAGUAACACGUGGAUAACCUACCUAUAAGACUGGGAUAACUUCGGGAAACCGGAGCUAAUACCGGAUAAUAUAUUGAACCGCAUGGUUCAAUAGUGAAAGACGGUUUUGCUGUCGCUUAUAGAUGGAUCCGCGCCGCAUUAGCUAGUUGGUAAGGUAACGGCUUACCAAGGCAACGAUGCGUAGCCGACCUGAGAGGGUGAUCGGCCACACUGGAACUGAGACACGGUCCAGACUCCUACGGGAGGCAGCAGUAGGGAAUCUUCCGCAAUGGGCGAAAGCUUGACGGAGCAACGCCGCGUGAGUGAUGAAGGUCUUCGGAUCGUAAAACUCUGUUAUUAGGGAAGAACAAAUGUGUAGGUAACUAUGCACGUCUUGACGGUACCUAAUCAGAAAGCCACGGCUAACUACGUG
This 497-nucleotide ribosomal RNA is filed under the name uncultured bacterium. RNAcentral describes it as "partial 16S ribosomal RNA". It matches the Rfam family "Bacterial small subunit ribosomal RNA", at positions 28 to 507 of the family's 1533-position model. The record is from RNAcentral.